AAUCAGACUAGAUAGCCAUGCAUGUCUAAGUAUAAGCAAAUCUAUACUGUGAAACUGCGAACGGCUCAUUAAAUCAGUUAUAGUUUAUUUGAUGGUACCUUACUACAUGGAUAACUGUGGUAAUUCUAGAGCUAAUACAUGCCGAAAAGGCCCCUCACGGGGUUGUAUUUAUUAGAUUAAAGACCGUUGGCUUUCGGGCCAUUGGGUGAAUCAUGAUAACUGCUCGGAGCGUAUGGCCUUGCGCCGACGCCGCUUCAUUCAAAUACCUGCCCUAUCAGCUUUUGAUGGUAGUGUAGUGGACUACCAUGGCUCUCACGGGUAACGGGGAAUUAGGGUUCGAUUCCGGAGAGAGAGCCUGAGAAACGGCUCUCAUAACUAAGGUUAGCAGCAGGCGCGCAAAUUAUCCACUCUCAAUUCGAGGAGAUAGUGACAAGAAAUAACAAUAGAGGGCUCUUUUGGGUCUUCUAAUUGGAAUGAGAACAAUCUAAAUCCCUUAACGAGGAUCAAUUGGAGGGCAAGUCUGGUGCCAGCAGCCGCGGUAAUUCCAGCUCCAAUAGCGUAUAUUAAAUUUGUUGACGUUAAAAAGCUCGUAGUCGACUUUCGGCCUCAGCCAACCGGUCCGCUCAAUGAGUGUGUACUGGAUUUGGUUGGGGCUUUACCUCCUGGUGAUCCGGCAUGGUCUUUAUUGAUUGUGUCGGGGAACCCGGAACUUUACUUUGAAUAAAUCAGAGUGUUCAAAGCAGGCAUGUUUGCCCGAAUGUUACAGCAUGGAAUAAUAGAAUAGGAUGUGUGCCUCUAUUGGUCUUUUAGAGGCACCUUAAUGAGAAAUAGGGGCGGCUCGGGGGCAUUUGUAUUCAAUUGCUAGAGGUGAAAUUCUUGGAUUUAUUGAAGACAAACUAUUGCGAAAGCAUUUGCCAAGGACGCUUUCAUUGAUCAAGAACGAAGGUCGGGGGAUCGAAAACGAUUAGAGUUAGAAUAGGUAUUUAGUCGUUGAAAGGUUCUGCCAGUAAAGGUGAACCUAGUGGCUUUUCCGAAGGUCGCAACAUUGUCAAAUUGCUGGAAAGCCCUUCAAGUUUCCUGUUACCAAGCUGUCUUCUAGAAAUAGGGCAGUGGCCGGGCUAGCAGCCUCGGGUAUGGUCACAAUACGGGAAAAUUGGGUAACCAGCAGCCAAGUCCCAAGCUCUUCUUCAGAGCGGGAUGCAGUUCACAGACUAAAUGGCAAUGGGUUCAAGCUCCUGAACGAGGGGUUUGAGUCUAAGAUAUAGUCGGUCUCUUGUGCGAAAGCCUUAGAGAGGAAAUGUAGAUACCGUUGUAGUCUCGACAGUAAACUAUGCCAACCGGCGAUGGGUGGGGGUUUUCUUAAUGACCCCAUCUGCAGCCAAAGAGAAAUCUUGAGUGCGGUUCGUGGGGGAGUACGGUCUGUUGAACAACAGCAAAGUUUCUAUGAGGAACCUUGUGGCCGUCGAAAGUCUUUUGAGAGAUCAAAGGGCUAGUCUGACCUUCGCAAAGGUCGGGCAACACUAGCAAAUUGCGGCGAGGUCCUGAUGACUGACAAGUACCAAGCACCUGUGAAUCGAAAGAUCGGUGUGGCAAGGGGCAGUGACCCUUGGUAUGGUAACAACCUUGUACAGAUUGGAUGAGCGCGCAGCCAAGGUCCUCACUCCGUAACAGGGGUAGGAUUCCAGUCCACAGACUAAACGCUAGUGGGUAUGAAUCGCUUUCAUGCUUAAGAUAUAGUCGAGUCGUGCAGCGAGAGCUGUAUGUAGUGAAUGCACAAGGCUGAAACUUAAAGGAAUUGACGGAAGGGCACCACCAGGAGUAAACACAAAUAGGCUCUGCUCUGGAAAGCGACUCUGCAAAGAGUUUGUGGUGUUACCUUUGAAAUUAGCUAGUCCUGUCUGCGAGACAGGCGACAUUUUCAAUUGCGGGAACGGCCUGGAAGCUCUCAUUACCAGUCU
Molecule: ribosomal RNA, 1958 nt
Filed under: Kurtzmanomyces tardus
Lineage: Eukaryota; Fungi; Basidiomycota; Agaricostilbomycetes; Agaricostilbales; Chionosphaeraceae
Description: SSU rRNA
Rfam family: Eukaryotic small subunit ribosomal RNA
Source: RNAcentral